This 253-nucleotide ribosomal RNA is filed under the name uncultured bacterium. RNAcentral's name for it is "partial 16S ribosomal RNA". It matches the Rfam family "Bacterial small subunit ribosomal RNA", at positions 524 to 776 of the family's 1533-position model. The record is from RNAcentral.
UACAGAGGUCUCAAGCGUUGUUCGGAUUCAUUGGGCGUAAAGGGCGCGUAGGCGGCGGGGUAAGUCGGGUGUGAAAUCUCAGAGCUCAACUCUGAAACUGCACUCGAUACUGCUCUGCUUGAGGACUGGAGAGGAGACUGGAAUUCACGGUGUAGCAGUGAAAUGCGUAGAUAUCAGGAGGAAUACCGAUGGCGAAGGCAGGUCUCUGGGCUGACACUGACGCUCAUGCACGAAAGCGUGGGGAGCAAACAGG